Molecule: ribosomal RNA, 253 nt
Filed under: uncultured bacterium
Lineage: Bacteria
Description: partial 16S ribosomal RNA
Rfam family: Bacterial small subunit ribosomal RNA
Source: RNAcentral
UACGUAGGUGGCAAGCGUUAUCCGGAUUUAUUGGGCGUAAAGAGAACGCAGGCGGUCUUUUAAGUCUGAUGUGAAAGCCUUCGGCUUAACCGGAGUAGUGCAUUGGAAACUGGGAGACUUGAGUGCAGAAGAGGAGGGUGGAACUCCAUGUGUAGCGGUGAAAUGCGUAGAUAUAUGGAAGAACACCAGUGGCGAAAGCGGCUCUCUGGUCUGUAACUGACGCUGAGGUUCGAAAGCGUGGGGAGCAAACAGG